This 498-nucleotide ribosomal RNA is filed under the name uncultured bacterium. RNAcentral describes it as "partial 16S ribosomal RNA". It matches the Rfam family "Bacterial small subunit ribosomal RNA", at positions 28 to 507 of the family's 1533-position model. The record is from RNAcentral.
GACGAACGCUGGCGGCAUGCCUAACACAUGCAAGUCGAACGGAGAUUAUUUCGGUAAUCUUAGUGGCGAACGGGUGAGUAACGCCUGGGCAACCUGCCCUCUAGAUGGGGACUACAUCCCGAAAGGGGUGCUAAUACCGAAUGUGACAGCAAUCUCGCAUGAGGAUGCUGUGACAGAUGGCCUCUAUUUAUAAGCUAUCGCUAGAGGAUGGGCCUGCGUCUGAUUAGCUAGUUGGUGGGGUAACGGCCUACCAAGGCGAUGAUCAGUAGCCGGUCUGAGAGGAUGAACGGCCACAAUGGGACUGAGACACGGCCCAGACUCCUACGGGAGGCAGCAGGGGGGAAUCUUCCGCAAUGGGCGAAAGCCUGAAGGAGCAAUGCCGCGGGAGGGAUGAAGGAAUUCGGUCCGUAAAGCUCGUUUGUUUAUGACGAAUGUGCAGAUUGUGAACAAUGAGCUGUAAUGACGGUAGUAAACGAAUAAGCCACGGCUAACUACGUG